UCACAUAGAAAGUGGUACAAAAUGUUGCCACAUGGUUUGUGUGUUAGAGGAUUUUUCACAAGUUAUAGUGUGUCCAGGUGAUUCAUCCUUUUUAUGCAUGUCUAUCUUUGUGAGCUACACUGUUAACAGUUUAACUUCUAAGGGUAAUUGUAAAUGGGUAAAUGAGUUUAGUCGCACUUCUUAUUAUCUGAAAUUUCUAAGUUACAUGGAGAGAAACAAAUGAGUAGUGUCCUUGCACUGUUUCAGGAUGCAGUGCUGCAGAAGCUCAUUGAUGAUAAUUACUUAUCACAAGAGGAAAGGUUUGUACUACAUCUGAUUACAUUCUUUUUUUCCUUCCCUCAAUAUGCUUAAUGUGUGAAUCAUGCAUCCUUCAUCUCACGACUGUUUUACCCUUUUCAAGUUCCUGUCUGAAAGUUAGUAAUCUUUAACGGGUCCUGGUCUUACUUUGAACGGACAAUACACCAGCUAAACUCUAUCCUGCCAACCCAUACCAAGAACAUGAUAAAGGUUCAAGUUUCUAGCUUAUAUGAGAAAACUGCCAAUUUUUGUCUCAUGAACUAGGGUUUUUAGAUGUUUCCUGCCCAACUUGUCACCAUAAUUUUGAGUCUCUCCUAUCUAACCUGAUUGAUUUUUUUUAUUUUUAUUUUUUGUCUUUAAAUAUAUUCCAUUACGAAGACCGCAUGGUCAUGAAUUCUGGUGCUAGUAACUUUUCUUUUCCCUUUCAGAUGAAUUGGAUAGACAAAAGGUAAGCUACUAAUCUCUUUGAUAAGUGUUCAGUUUUUACUCAUUCAAGGCUGGUACUGGAUUAAAAGUGAUAGUUCUUCUGUAGGUCUUGCUUGAAGUGUAACUUCAUCUUGAAAUUUUGAAAGCUAAGAAUCAAAUUGUUUGUCAUUGCAAGUAUUAAUUUUGAAAGCUAAGAAUCAUAUUGUUUGUCAUUGCAAGUAUUAAGACUUCAAGUAAUUAUGCUUGUAAGAGUUAAUAAGCUUCAUCUGGAAUUGAAGCAAAAAACUCUGUUAAGCUCUUUGAAUAAUAUAAUAUCUCAAGUUGACAUUUCAGUAUAUUAUUUUCACAUCUGGCCCCAGAAUUGGAAAUGCCACAAUCACUGUUUAUCCAUGACUAUGAGUACAUCUUGAGGACAAGGAAGACAAAUCAUAACUUAGAAUUUCCAAAUUUAGCUAAUCGUCAAAUCAUUCUUUAGUCAUUAAUCUAGUUAGCAUAGAGAGUUUAUAAACUCUUAAAGACGUGGACCAAACUGAAGUGAAUGUGAAACAGUAAAAAAAUUUAUGGAGCACUUCAAAUUCUGUAACCGAGUCAUACUAUUUUUUUGUUUGUAUUGGCUUAUGACUUUUCUUGUUUUAAGUCAUUUUCUUGUUUCGCAGGGAUGUGCUUCGUUGGGGAAGAAAUAUUGGUUCAGCCAAAAUGAGGACAAAAAGGCGGGUUGCCUCUUGAAGGGAGAAAACUAAUCCAAUUACUUGUAGGGGGAAAACGUUAAACCCAAAGAAUAAUUGCCUCUUGAAGGGCAUUAGAAGAGGUUGCCUCUUGUCAUGGUGAGGAUUGAAAUUCUGUUUUUCUUUUUAAAUUAUUCCUAUUUUGAGUGGGUUGCUUUUGUCAUUGAAUCUUACAACUUAAGAUUAUUACAUUUUUGGAGAUUUUUAC
This 1656-nucleotide long non-coding RNA is filed under the name Olea europaea (common olive). Its description in RNAcentral is "long non-coding RNA (OEUR_LNC011073)". The record is from RNAcentral. Lineage: Eukaryota; Viridiplantae; Streptophyta; Magnoliopsida; Lamiales; Oleaceae.